RNAcentral lists this ribosomal RNA (494 nucleotides) under uncultured bacterium. Its description in RNAcentral is "partial 16S ribosomal RNA". It matches the Rfam family "Bacterial small subunit ribosomal RNA", at positions 28 to 507 of the family's 1533-position model. The record is from RNAcentral.
GACGAACGCUGGCGGCGCGCUUAACACAUGCAAGUCGAACGGAAAGGCCUGCUUUCCCUUGUGGAUUGCGGGUACUCGAGUGGCGAACGGGUGAGUAACACGUGAGUGAUCUGCCCCCAACUUGGGUAUAAGCCUGGGAAACUGGGUCUAAUUCCCGAUAGGACUGCAGGGUGGUGCCUGUGGUGGAAAACGAUUUUCUAGUGGUUGGGGAUGAGCUCGCGGCCUAUCAGCUUGUUGGUGGGGUAAUGGCCUACCAAGGCGGCGACGGGUAGCCGGCCUGGGAGGGUGGACGGCCACAUUGGGACUGAGAUACGGCCCAGACUCCUACGGGAGGCAGCAGUGGGGAAUAUUGCACAAUGGGCGGAAGCCUGAUGCAGCGACGCCGCGUAGGGGAUGACGGCCUUCGGGUUGUAAACUCCUUUCGACCGCGAGGAAGCCACCUGGUUGGAAGGGUGGUGACGGUAGUGGUAGAAGAAGCACCGGCUAACUACGUG